UUUUUAACACCAAACGUGAAAAUAUGCUUGAAAUUGAAAACAUUUAUAAUACUUCUUUACACAUCGUGAAAACGACGUUAGAUUUGUCAGGUUUUCAGGUAAACUGAAACUAAAUUAAACGUUACCCCCAAAAAAUUAGAAAUAAAAAAAGAAGAGCCGAAAGUAAGAGGAAAGAAAGCGCGCGAAAGAAAUUUUUUCUUUAAAUAAUAAAAACAAAGACUUCUUCUCCCUCACUUUCAGAAAACCAACUUCCUUCGCGGCAACGGGGCCUGAUUGCAUUUCCCAGUAAUGGCAGCUAGAUCUCGGAUGGUUUCACCGAUCAAAUCCUUAAAAAUCUGCCUUUCAAUAUCUAAAAUUGCUUCAGACAUCUCAAUUGGGCAGUCUCCCCAUCCAUUGACGGCGUCCCCUGCGAGAUCCUUCUUUAGCAGACCACAAAUCACCUCCAACAAAUCAUCAGAUGCAUCAAAGCUCUCGCGAAUUCUUUGAAAUUCUGACCAAAUUUGUUGCAAUGAAGCUUGUCCACCUGCAGAAUUUGUCCAACUAAUAGUCUUCCAGGGAGGCAAUUGCCUCUUCCGCUUGAGAAUUUCUGUAAUCGUGUCGAAAAUAAGCUUCCUUUGGAGUGUAGAGACUUUGGAAGUGUCGUUCCCCUUUAAAUACUGUUGCUUUUCUAGUAAAAGGAAGACAUCAGAAUCAUCAGGUAAAUAAUUGGCAGCCCUGAGGAUAUCAGAAAUGUAGAUGAAAUCACGUUCGUUUGAAUUUUCCUCUAAUUUUAACUGCACUGCUGGGCCCCAAAUAUCGUCUUCCAGUUCAGCAAAAGGAUCUUGGAAAUCAACGCUCCGUUUCAUAACAGGCGAAGGGGAAGAUUCGUCCUUGUAGAACGACGAAUCAAGAACCGAUACUGGACUGGGUUGCAACUCGGUAGCUGUCAUUUCAGCUAUGCUAUGAAGUAGCUUACCGCACCUCUCCAGCAGAUUCCUACCUUCCUUGUUAUCCUCCAUCUUCGACCUCUCCGUAUCGAUCUGAUAAGACGUGCUGAUACUACUCUCAGAAAUGGAGGAUGAUUCAUCCUCUGCGGGAAUAAACACCUUCUCCUCCUGGUAAAUCUCAACUGUUGGUUUCCUGUUUCUGGGUGAUCGGUUUGUGCUCGGAUCUGGUACGGUUCUCCUCGUACUAACUUUAGGAGACUGAACCGGAGACACUCUUCUUCGCUCAGUUGAAUUAUCACUUACACUCCUCUGCGUUUCAACAGAUAAAGGUCUCCUCCUGUUGGGACUCUUCACGCUGCUCUCACUUCGAGUAGGAGAAAUCGAAUUCCUACCUCUGUUUUGGCUACGUAUAUUACGUUCAAUCUCCGGUCGCUCACGUCUGGGACUCGUUGCAGGCAAUGUUUCGCCGGAAAGAUUCGAGUCCCGGCGAAUUAAGGGCCUGGUUCUAAAACUCGGAGAUGAAUCAUUACCUAUUCUAGCCGGCCGAUUCAUCGGAGGAGAAGGAAAUGUUGAUCUUACCGGCUUCAUUACAACGAUAGGAGAUUCAUCGUGUGAGAAACUCCUGCCGUAUAGAAUUCUUUGAUUGUUUUGGUUUGAUGGCUUUUUGGAAUGUAGAAGGCCUUUGAGUUGCAGAGCCUCGAGGAUUUGCUUGAGAGUCUCGUGAUCCAUCGAUGGCUCAUCGAUUCCUCUCAUUUUUAGCCUCUUCUCAAUCUCACCAUAGAUAGACACAGUAUGUUUAGGAUCAGGGAAGAAAUCAGCCGAAUCAUAGAAGCUCUUUCUUUGUCCUAUGCCUCUGUGAGGUGCCCUAAAACCAGCAGGCUCAACUCUAGCGUUUCUCACAGCAUUAUACUCCUUUGGAUUCACUGUUCUGCCAUUCGCCAUUUGAUUUUUAAUCGCACCGUCUCUAAUCACAUUACUUGGAACAUUGCUCUGUGUACUCUGCUGCGGUGACUGCUUUAACUGGAAAUUGAUGCCGUCGAUGAAUCGGUACUGCAGAAGAUCUCUGGAGGCUCUGGACUCUGAAGCAGAUCUUCGUAGUUCAGGUUUCUUCGCCUGCUCAUUUUCCCAUUCCGGUAAUUGCUCCAGUCCCAUCAGCCUUGCUAUUACGCUAGGCGAUCGGCGUUGCUUCUCGCUAUCAUCUGUUUCGUCUCCAUUCUUCUCGCAAGGGCUGACGGACAAAAUUGCAGCAUUUGCACGGAUCUCUUUCGGUUUAAGGCUUCCUUUGGCGUCGAACGUUGCUCUGCUAUCAAGAGAAAGUCUAGGAGCUUCUUUGCAAAAUUUCCACGAAGACUUAGUCCCUUCUUUCAGCUCAAAAACCGGAAGAGGAAGAGGCAAUUUGGCCUGGGACGACGUCGCCGGAGAUCGGAGCUCCGUCAACGGAGAGUGUUGCUGGUUCAAAUGUCCAGGAGAAGGCAUUGAUAUUGUUUGCUGCUCCUCCGAUACUCUCGAUAUUGCAGGAGACUCCAUAGUCUUCUCCGACUCCGGACUAGAAUCAACUACCGUAGAGGGAGGGAGGCGCUUAGGGGCGUAAAGGCGUUUUCCGGUGAGAAUCUGGUUGCGAUCAAAGAUCUGAAGGAAGCCUGCCAUGCACCCCAUUUGCUUCUCUA
RNAcentral lists this unclassified non-coding RNA (2593 nucleotides) under Hevea brasiliensis (rubber tree). The record is from RNAcentral. Lineage: Eukaryota; Viridiplantae; Streptophyta; Magnoliopsida; Malpighiales; Euphorbiaceae.